This 229-nucleotide unclassified non-coding RNA is filed under the name Glomeraceae sp. RNAcentral's name for it is "partial contains 5.8S ribosomal RNA and internal transcribed spacer 2". The stretch from base 1 to 71 matches the Rfam family "5.8S ribosomal RNA", at positions 84 to 154 of the family's 154-position model. The record is from RNAcentral. Lineage: Eukaryota; Fungi; Glomeromycota; Glomeromycetes; Glomerales; Glomeraceae.
GUGAAUCAUCGAAUUUUUGAACGCAAAUUGCACUCUCUGGUAUUCCGGAGAGUAUGCCUGUUUGAGGGUCAGUUUAAAUAAAAAUCGGUGUGGUUGCUGCCUUUCGUGGUGACGCACCGGAUUUGGGUCGUCUUGCCUUCGGUUAAGUGACCUAAAAUUUUGCAUGAUUUUUUUGAAAGUUUUUAAAUUAUUUUUCGUAAGGUUUCGAUUUCGAAUACUAGGGUCGGUU